GACGAACGCUGGCGGCGUGCUUAACACAUGCAAGUCGAACGGAAAGGCCCUGCUUUUGUUGGGUGCUCGAGUGGCGAACGGGUGAGUUACACGUGAGUAACCUGCCCUUGACUUUGGGAUAACUUCAGGAAACUGGGGCUAUUACCGGAUAGGAGCUCCUGCUGCUUGGUGGGGGUUGGAAAGUUUCGGCGGUUGGGGAUGGACUCGCGGCUUAUCAGCUUGUUGGUGGGGUAGUGGCUUACCAAGGCUUUGACGGGUAGCCGGCCUGAGAGGGUGACCGGCCACAUUGGGACUGAGAUACGGCCCAGACUCCUACGGGAGGCAGCAGUGGGGAAUAUUGCACAAUGGGCGGAAGCCUGAUGCAGCAACGCAGCGUGCGGGAUGACGGCCUUCGGGUUGUAAACCGCUGUCGCCUGUGACGAAGCGUGAGUGACGGUAAUGGGUAAAGAAGCACCGGCUAACUACGUG
Molecule: ribosomal RNA, 468 nt
Filed under: uncultured bacterium
Lineage: Bacteria
Description: partial 16S ribosomal RNA
Rfam family: Bacterial small subunit ribosomal RNA
Source: RNAcentral